RNAcentral lists this ribosomal RNA (404 nucleotides) under Fusobacteriota bacterium. Its description in RNAcentral is "Fusobacteria bacterium partial 16S ribosomal RNA". It matches the Rfam family "Bacterial small subunit ribosomal RNA", at positions 355 to 776 of the family's 1533-position model. Lineage: Bacteria; Fusobacteriati; Fusobacteriota. The record is from RNAcentral.
UGGGGAAUAUUGCACAAUGGAGGGAACUCUGAUGCAGCGACGCCGCGUGAGUGAUGAAGGACUUCGUUUCGUAAAACUCUGUUCUAUGGGAAGAAAAGGACUGUACCAUAGGAGAAAGCUCCGGCUAAAUACGUGCCAGCAGCCGCGGUAAUACGUAUGGAGCGAGCGUUGUCCGGAAUUAUUGGGCGUAAAGGGUGCGCAGGCGGCUUUACAAGUUGGAUGUGAAAUAUUGUGGCUCAACCACAAACGCGCAUCCAAAACUGCAAAGCUUGAGUUAAGGAGAGGUAAGUGGAAUUCCUGGUGUAGCGGUGGAAUGCGUAGAUAUCAGGAGGAAUACCGGUGGCGAAGGCGACUUACUGGACUUAAACUGACGCUCAGGCACGAAAGCGUGGGGAGCAAACAGG